CACGUAGGGUGCAAGCGUUGUCCGGAAUCAUUGGGCGUAAAGAGCUCGUAGGCGGUGUGUCACGUCGGCCGUGAAAACCUGCAGCUUAACUGUGGGCGUGCGGUCGAUACGGGCAUCACUGGAGUUCGGCAGGGGAGACUGGAAUUCCUGGUGUAGCGGUGAAAUGCGCAGAUAUCAGGAGGAACACCGGUGGCGAAGGCGGGUCUCUGGGCCGAUACUGACGCUGAGGAGCGAAAGCGUGGGGAGCAAACAGG
This 254-nucleotide ribosomal RNA is filed under the name uncultured bacterium. RNAcentral describes it as "partial 16S ribosomal RNA". It matches the Rfam family "Bacterial small subunit ribosomal RNA", at positions 524 to 776 of the family's 1533-position model. The record is from RNAcentral.